Molecule: long non-coding RNA, 409 nt
Organism: Mastomys coucha (southern multimammate mouse)
Lineage: Eukaryota; Metazoa; Chordata; Mammalia; Rodentia; Muridae
Exons: 2
Source: RefSeq, a predicted model, not a curated record
UUUUAAAAAGUGGCCGGUGCGACGGCUCAGCCUGACAGUCUGAGUUCAUGGGACCCACAUUGGAUGAAGAGAAUCAACCCCUCAAAGUUGUUCACUGAUCUCCACGCAUGAGAGAACAGCAUCAAGAGCCUCUGCUGCCCAGAAUGUGCAUGCUCACUCCUCUCCUGGCUCAGGCUCUGCAGAAGAUCACUGUAUCAACAAGGCUGGCCAGAGCCCUCCUGCCCACUCCAACCCCCUGAGCCUGCUCUUCUACAGGACAUAUCAUGGCACCACCACCCGCGCCACUUCACAGCUUCUUCAGUGUUAUGGUCUGGCUCACUCACAAGAACAAAAGUUCUGCAAAAGGGAAGGGAGCAGAGUCUUUGUUUCUAGGAAAGUGUUCAAUAAAAGUAUUUUACUGCCUGAAUAA